Molecule: ribosomal RNA, 526 nt
Filed under: bacterium A6S_VP8_A9
Lineage: Bacteria
Description: bacterial SSU rRNA
Rfam family: Bacterial small subunit ribosomal RNA
Source: RNAcentral
UCCUACGGGAGGCAGCAGUAGGGAAUCUUCCGCAAUGGACGAAAGUCUGACGGAGCAACGCCGCGUGAGUGAUGAAGGCUUUCGGGUCGUAAAACUCUGUUGUUAGGGAAGAACAAGUGCUAGUUGAAUAAGCUGGCACCUUGACGGUACCUAACCAGAAAGCCACGGCUAACUACGUGCCAGCAGCCGCGGUAAUACGUAGGUGGCAAGCGUUAUCCGGAAUUAUUGGGCGUAAAGCGCGCGCAGGUGGUUUCUUAAGUCUGAUGUGAAAGCCCACGGCUCAACCGUGGAGGGUCAUUGGAAACUGGGAGACUUGAGUGCAGAAGAGGAAAGUGGAAUUCCAUGUGUAGCGGUGAAAUGCGUAGAGAUAUGGAGGAACACCAGUGGCGAAGGCGACUUUCUGGUCUGUAACUGACACUGAGGCGCGAAAGCGUGGGGAGCAAACAGGAUUAGAUACCCUGGUAGUCCACGCCGUAAACGAUGAGUGCUAAGUGUUAAAAGGUUUCCGCCCUUUAGUGCUGAAAUU